Molecule: ribosomal RNA, 253 nt
Filed under: uncultured bacterium
Lineage: Bacteria
Description: partial 16S ribosomal RNA
Rfam family: Bacterial small subunit ribosomal RNA
Source: RNAcentral
UACGGGGGGGGCAAGCGUUGUUCGGAAUUACUGGGCGUAAAGGGCUCGUAGGUGGCCAACUAAGUCAGACGUGAAACCCCUCGGCUUAACCGGGGAACUGCGUCUGAUACUGGAUGGCUUGAGUUCGGGAGAGGGAUGCGGAAUUCCAGGUGUAGCGGUGAAAUGCGUAGAUAUCUGGAGGAACACCGGUGGCGAAGGCGGCAUCCUGGACCGACACUGACACUGAGGAGCGAAAGCUAGGGGAGCGAACGGG